CCGGUAGUGAAGGCAGAGAGAGAGGCAGGCUGGGUCCGCCUGGCAGCCUACGGGAGGAGGCGGGAGCCGGGAAGGAGGGGAGCCGAGGCCCGGCGUGGGGAGGCCGGCAGGAAGGGCCUCGAGCCCAGUGCGGACCUUUCUUCAGCCUCUGUGCUACCGAGCCGCGCGCCAGGCUCCUGUGCGAGGAGGACGCGCUGACUCCCUCCGACCUGGGCUCCGAUGGAGCAGAAAUAGCGGGACCUGGACUUGUGGCGCGCCUGGUGCCACAUCUCGGGCUCUGCGAGCGUCCUGGCGCGGGAUCCUGCCGUGAGAAGGAGUUGGGGCGGGGGACCCGGCGGGGCAUUGCGGGAGAAGGCCUGGGAGCCCUGGGAGCCUUGUAGCGUGGGGGAGUUCACUGUGUAGAGAGGUUUCAUGUCUUCAUCUAUACAGUCACUUAUUUGUCUCAAAGUUCUCGAAAUUCCCUCUUAGAGAAGGAGAAAGUUAGAGAACUGGAGGCUGCGUACCCUGAUUGCGCAGAAGGGAAGCAGCCUCGCAUUCCCCGGGGCAGGCCCCCCCAUCCCCCGCCCCGCGCGUCCCGCCAGUAGGGGAAUUUAGCGGAGGGCUGCGGUUGUCUGGUGAAAGGCUAUCCAAGAAUAAGGGGCUUCACUUUUCCCAAGUAAGGGAAAGAGAAGGGGUCUACAGGGCUAGGGGUGGAGGUAGCGGAUGCAGUGAGCAGCCUCCGCAGAGAAAUUGACAAUUUAACCAGGGACCUGCGGCAGAGACAAGGCGGAGACACUCCCUUGCCCAGGAAAGCCGCCAGAGUCCGGCUUGUACCUGGGGAAGAAUCCUUAAGACGGUCUGGCCCAACACUCCUUUUGCUCACAGAGAAAGGGGAGAAGACUCCCGAGGGUGAAAAUGGUACAUUCGGAGCUGGAACUCAGCUCGCUGACCCCAAGCAGUGUUCCCUUCUUUUCGCCAGGUUUGCAUCCAAGAGAGGGGAGGACAGGGGCUAAAGGAUGCAGGGAGGCUGCUGAUUUCCACUGAAGAGCUAAUUUCCUGUGAGACAUUAACAGUGAUUUAAGAAAAAGAUUCCUGUAACUGUAAUGUCUUACAAUAACAGAAUGCAGGAGAGCACAUAUCAAUGAAGAAAAGACAAAAUGUACUUAUCCAUGAAGCUGAGGUUAAGAAACCAGUGUCUUCAAGAGCCAAGGACAGCACUGGGUCUGUGCAGAGUUGAGAGAUGGUGAUGACAUGUGACAGAGCUCCUUGCUGCUCAAAUUUUAUGCCAGAUAAAAUAUUCACCUUCUCGGACUCCCUGGCACCAGGCAUGGCCAUGUAAUGU
This 1321-nucleotide long non-coding RNA is filed under the name Pan troglodytes (chimpanzee). Its description in RNAcentral is "long non-coding RNA NONPTRT015719". The record is from RNAcentral. Lineage: Eukaryota; Metazoa; Chordata; Mammalia; Primates; Hominidae.